AGCAGCCGCGGUAAUUCCAGCUCCAAUAGCGUAUAUUAAAGUUGUUGCAGUUAAAAAGCUCGUAGUUGAAUUUCGGGGUUAGCAGGUCGGUCGUGCCAUUGGUAUGAACUGGUCUCGCUGAUCCCUCCCUCUUGACGAACUGUGAUGCCAUUAAUUUGGUGUCGCAGGGAAUCAGGACUGUUACUUUGAAAAAUUAGAGUGCUUAAAGCAGGCUCACGCUUGAAUACAUUAGCAUGGAAUAAUGAAAUAGGACGUUUGAUCCUAUUUUGUUGGCUUCUAGGAUUGACGUAAUGAUUAAUAGGGAUAGUUGGGGCAUUAGUAUUCAAUUGUCAGAGGUGAAAUUCUUGGAUUUAUUGAAGACUAACUACUGCGAAAGCAUUUGCCAAGGAUGUUUUCAUUAAUCAAGAACGAAAGUUAGGGGAUCGAAGACGAUCAGAUACCAUCGUAAGUCUUAACCAUAAACUAU
This 466-nucleotide ribosomal RNA is filed under the name uncultured Glomus. Its description in RNAcentral is "SSU rRNA". It matches the Rfam family "Eukaryotic small subunit ribosomal RNA", at positions 569 to 1040 of the family's 1831-position model. Lineage: Eukaryota; Fungi; Glomeromycota; Glomeromycetes; Glomerales; Glomeraceae. The record is from RNAcentral.